Molecule: long non-coding RNA, 5966 nt
Organism: Scophthalmus maximus (turbot)
Lineage: Eukaryota; Metazoa; Chordata; Actinopteri; Pleuronectiformes; Scophthalmidae
Exons: 7
Source: RefSeq, a predicted model, not a curated record
UAUCUCAGCAGCUGCAUUGGUCAAUCCAGGUGAAUGACACGUCUAUAGAACCGUCUGAGCCAAUAGAAUCGACGGACAGCAGUCGCUACCUUUGAGGGGGCGAACCCACUGUGACGUCUUUUUUCCCCUACGCCAUUUGUCAUGCGACUUCCACCUGUUUGGUCGAAAGUAGGACGGACCAGGCGGAUUAACAUCUUGAAAUGACGGAAUCAGAUUCAUGGACCAAAACACAAACUUUUACUGCAAAUCCUUCGACGGUGUACGUGGUUGAUGUUGGGGUGUGGCCGAGUUCCUCACCGUUCUGUGAAUAUGCUGUAUGACUAUAUUGCUUCAUGUGUGAGAAAAAUGAUGAGUGAUUUGGUCCAAUUGUGUCGGAACCAAGGCCCCCACCAGGUUUCUAUGGAGAAGGUCAGAAAACUAAAACUAUUCCUUAUCAAAUAAGAAAUGUGACGGCACAGCUAGUGAGUGGAUUAAUCUGACACUACUGCCCUCGGACGGUAAGUUUUAGGUUUUAUGCUUCGACAGGUAAGAAGAAUCACCCCGAUCCCAGUUUGUUGUGCAGCACUACAACAUGUGUGCACCUCGUUGUAUAAAGCCUUCUGUGGGUCCAGAAGAAGUAGUGUAAAGUCGGACAAAUCGCCCCCGGUGAAGUUCCUCGAGUUGGGUUUAAAGAAUGUAAGUUUUGGGUGGAAAAACAAAACAAAAAAGCGUGGAUGUGGAGUUAAAAAGAAGUGAGCUCACCAAACUGCUGCAGCCCGCUUCCUCAUCUCCGCCUGAGGCUACGAGAGCUGUUACCAGCACAACGCACCCAAAUCUCCAACCAAACCGUCAGGGGUUGAGCUGCAUUGUGGGUGGGUGAAAGGGUGGAGUGUUAGCGAGAGUCCGGGAGCCGCACACUGUUUAAUCCGUACCUGACCGGCCGCAGGCUGAUGAUGAACAAAAGCGGCAGGUUUCCACUUCCUGGUGGACUACAGGUUCAUCCUCACUAUCAGCACAACUAAUGUGAAAAAGAGAAGAGGAGCUUCAUCCAAAAUAGCUCAAUUACACAGAAUAUUGACUCGUUAACGUGGUGUGCAGACGGCGACAGAAGCCGGCCGGGCAGAGUCAGGGAAGAUGACAUUCUUUUCUUCAGUGCACCUUAAUUUCCUGCCAAAACCUUAUUAUUGGACACCAACUAUUUAAAGCAGAAUACUUGAAAUAAAAAAACCUGAUCCGAGUGCAGAGCUGCUGGUCUUAAAACCCAGCUGGAUGACUGCAGGGCCUGCACCCCAGACACCACCACCAUGAAUCCACCAAAAACACCCUUGGAAAAAUUACAAGAAUCUAAGGAAAAGAAAUGCCACAUUCACUCUUCUAUUCAGGGUUCCAACACAUUUUCCAUUUCAAAUUUCCAGGCUUUUCUCUGUGGAUUUUUCAGACCAUAUUUGAGAUCCGAGUACUAAUACCUGGAUGUUUAUUAAGUAAAUAUUAUCAUAUAAAUGAAUGUUAUAAGCUAUUUUAUAUAAUAUUACCAUAUAAGUAAAUAUUAUUAUGUAAAUAAAUCAUUUAAAUCCAACUGUUAACAUGUUACAUACUGUGUAUGUUAUCAUGUUGCACUUCAUCUACAGAAAGUCGAUUGUGAUGUGAAAUAUUGAUACUUUUCGAAUUCCGCUGUUACCUGUUCUAGGACUGAUUCUCAUAUUAAAAGAUUGAUAUUUUAACUCAGUAAUUUUGGGUAAAUGUGUAGUGUACCUUCAACGGGGGAAAUAGUACUAAGUAACUACUGUAGGUUGAUAGGAACUAAUUACAGUAUCCCUCCGCCUACAUUUAUCACUUUUCAGUGAUAAACCUCGCCACAGCUCUGAUUCACUAGACCAGAGAGAUUCUGUUUAGACUUCAGUCUGGAAACACAAAUAUCUUUACCAUACUCUCACUUCUUUUUUCCAUACUUAUCCAGACCUGUGAAUUACUGAAAACAAAUUCCAUAUUGCGUAGGGAACCCUGUACUAUUGAAGAUCACCAUUCUAUAGUCCAAUGGUCACCAAUCAAAUGUUAAAAGGGAACCUUAUCGUGAAGACGUAUCUAUGCUCAGUAGAUUAUGUCAACUGAUAUGUCUCAAUCAGACUACGAAAUAUCAACGUUGCUAUCGGUUGGGCUAAGGAAAGUCGGUGAGGAACUCUGUGAUGAGAGUCGUAACUGUCAUGAACGUGGACUUUGAAAAGACUCUUGUGGACCCUUUUCUUUCUGUGUGGACUUUUAUUGUUUAUGAUUUCAUUGAUUACCCUUCAAUUGUUUGUGUGUGUGUGUUUCGGUUUUUGUGCAGUUACUUUCUUGUGUUUUGUUCAUCUUGAGCAUAGUAUUUCCUGUUUUGCGUCCGCUUCCUGUUCUCCCGUGUCUUAUGUGGUCCAUUUACCUUUUCUCGUGUUUCCCGCUGGUUCUGUUCCUAAUGCGUUUCACCCGUGUGUCUAAUGAUCUCUGCCCUCUUGUCUAUAAAGUCUCUGUGCUUCCCUUUUUUCCUCGUCAGGUGGUCUGUUCUAUUCCUUGUUCCAUUGUUCUACUGACCCGACUUUCUCCGUUUCUACCAGCAAAGCCUGUAAGCUUGCCUUUUUUAUUAGACUUACCUUGUUCCGCCCUCUGCGCUUGGAUCCUGCUCCAUGAUCCGUGACGUGUAAACGUCUUCAAGAAUCUGCAACCACGUCCAGAUAGCUCCCGGUCCAGCGCCGUGGGAUCACUAUGAUCUGGAUGAAUGAGAAUCUCCACUGACAAACAUGUCAGAAACGUUCACGUUCUCUCUGUCCGUCGUUGCACUUCACAUCUCGAACUCUCUUGAUGUGAACCAUUCACAGAUUCAGCAAAAAAGACCACAAGAAGAUUGACGGACUCCUCGGAACCGUUUGGGUUUAUCUCGACUGACACGCUAACAGCCUCAGAAGUGGGAGCCGUCUUUUUCAAGAUAAGAGACGGCAAAGCUCCUUUUGGUUUUCUGGAAAACGUGUGAAGGAUAUACAAUUAACUUUUAUCUGGGAUGGGCCGGUGAGAAGCGGCGACAGAGUGUCUCGUGGAUUCUCUUUCCAGGGGAGUGAAACGUUGUGUUAAUGUGCCAUAUUCCUUUAAUUUCCCUGGGUAUGAAAGGAAACCAGAUCCUUGAAUUGAGUUUUGACUGCAGACACGCACAACUCAAAGUCCCACUUACUUUUUUUUUAAAUUUUCCAGCUGGGAUAAUUGACUGCAGAACACGUGAGAAGAAGAAGAAGAAGAACCUGUGUGGAGAUUCAGAGGAGUUUGAAGGAAUGGAUGGAGAGCCUGGGAUGAAACGGCGGCUUCAGGGACUCACCCGCCAUCUGUGCUGUUUAACGUGACGACUGUGCUGUGACUGAGAUUCACUGCCAUAAACUGCUGCAGGAGUUAUUCACAGAAUCACCUGGAGCAGAAAAAGGACGGCGAGCUGAAGGAAAGAAGUCGGAAGAAAGAAGCAGUGAUUGAACCAUCGCGGCAGGGAAGGACAGCAAAGACUCCUCCUGCUGAGACUCUGCCCACAGAAACCCAGACAAAGAGGUCUGAUUUGGGAAAAAGGAGGCAAUUUAUUAAAGCCCCAAAGACUUUCAAAAACAAAAGAACUCAUGCAAAUCAGCACUUUCUACCUGCUGCCAGACGCCGCCGAUGUUUCCCUCACAGCCAGCAGUUUAUCUUCACGGACUGACUUCUUCCGGUCUUGCUCGAAACACCUGGCUGUACCAUUAACUGCCCGACUCUUGAGGCGUGCAUCCCGCUGAGGAGCCCCGAGUGGUGCUGUGAAGCGUGAUAUUAGACCCCGGGCUUCGCAACGGGGAAGCUUCAGACUCCCGACAACCUCUGAGCGUCUCCGAUCCAUCACCUGUGACUGACAGACGCUCUCAUCCGGAACAAAACUCUGCUGAAAAAAAAAAACAGAGAGAGAGAAUGAGAGAGAGAGCUGCCUCGACAGUGUGAAACAACGAGAAGCGGACUGAAACCGGCUGUUAGGACAGAACGACUACAGAUCCACAGAAUACUGAACGACAUGACGGCUGUACUGAAAGUGCAGGUUCACAACGAGAAAGUGAGUAAAGAUAUUAAAUGGAAGGUCAAGAGCUCAAUCCCCUUCACAGCUCUCGAAACCAAUCAAAAUCCAUCGAUCUACUCUACUGCUCUACUGCUUCAAACCUAUAAAAGGAAAACCAUCCACAAAUACACUGGGACAAUUAUUAAUUUCUCAUUACCUGCUUCACACUUCUCGGUAAUAACGCCAUUUCCUGCUCUUCCCUAACUGUAAAUGCGUUUAGCGCUGCCGCAGGCUUCGCUUUCCAUUUAGAUUAAGAUUCUGCUUCACAAGUGAAACUUCCUCCUCCGUCUCUGCUCAUCUCACUGUGUCCACAACUUCCACCUCCUGUCUGUCUCUCUCUCCUCUUCCUCCUCUUCUUUCCUGUCUGUGGGUGUCAGUCCACCAAUGUCCUGCUGCGAGCGGCGGCAGCUCGGAUGUGAGCAAACCAACUUCUCCUCUCUGGUAAACAUCCAUUACGGAGCACACAGAGAAGCAGAGGUGGGGGUGGAGACAGCUGAUGCGUUUCAGGUGUCGACGGCGACAAAACAAACCCUUGUGAAAAACGCUUUGACCUCAAUUUCACAACAGGAAUACAGACUGAAGUGAACCGACACUGUCCUGUUGACAUUUGGUCGUUGAGAAUCUUUGUGCACGGCGACGAGAAACGAAUUAAGGUGAUGCUGAAGUAAACUCUGGCCUCUUAUGAACUCUGAAGCCUACGAACUGAUAAUUACUGUGCCAGGUUGAGUUCAAUGGAGCAUGAAUUGGUUUUUUUUUAAAGCUUUAAUUUCAUCAUUAUUUCAUUAUUUAAUUAUCACAUUAAACUCUAAGGUUGUUUCCAUCUUGACCUGGAAGUUGGUUGAUCCUACGAUGUCGGCAGAUCUGGACCGGACCGGACUCCCGUCACAUUGCGUUGUCCGGGUCAUUAUCUCACAUGUGACACCGUCACAUCGUCUCGUCUGGAAUAUGAAUGAGAUCACAGCGAAACCGGGGCCCUGUACCUGAAAGAAUUACCAACGCCUCGACUCCCGUCAGUGUCCUCGCUAACGCACGCGACAAUUAUCUCGUCUGUGGCCGCUCUGCUCCCUCACGUCGUCGGGCUGGCGAUCUACUUCCUUUGAGAGUCCUGCUGUAAAAUCCGACAUAUCAGCCGGCGUGUCGCAGGUUUAUAGAGGAGAUAUAUACAGUACAUAUAUAUAUAUAUAUAUAUAUAUAUAUAUAUAUAUAUAUAUAUAGCAAUAUCAAUGUGGGCACAAAGCCCAGACCUGCUAUUGAUGUGUAGAGCUUUUAGUGACGCAGCUAAUAAAAGAUUAAUGAUUUGUGUGUGUGUGUGUGUGUGUGUGUGUGUGUGUGUGUGUGUGUGUGUGUGUGUGUGUGUGUGUGUGUGUGUGUGUGUGUGUGCGUGUGCGCGUGUGUGCGCGUGUGUGUGUGUGUGUUUGUUUUUAAUGCUCAUUCUGCAGGGAAUCCUUUUCCCAGAUAUCAGGGUUCAGGUCCUGGCAAUUUGUCAUCACGUCCUGUUUAAUGACCUUUGCUACAAUAAAAUAGGUAACAGGCUUUUUUUUUUCUCUCUCCAAACAUCCUCAUUAGCCUCGACCGGGCCCCGAUCAUCAAGUUUCAGACCAGAGGGCACAAAUAUUUCAUGGGCCCCAGGCCAAAUUUCUCUUUUCAUUUUAUCCCGUCUUCUUAUUCUUAAUAAAUCAGAUCUAGCGUACGGGGCAUUUACAGAAUAGCUCUGAUUCGUUAUGGAGAAGCACUGUACGCCAUUGGAAGAUGAAAGGUAACCGCUAAAAUAUACAACUUGAAUAAAAGCCUAAGAGCUACAGUGUGUUAUAUUGAGAGGAACUUAUUCAUAGAUAUUGAAUGUACUGUCCAUAACUGUGUUCAUUAUGUAUAAUCAUCUCCAUGUUUGCUACGUCGUGUUGAAUAC